Molecule: long non-coding RNA, 641 nt
Organism: Brassica oleracea var. oleracea
Lineage: Eukaryota; Viridiplantae; Streptophyta; Magnoliopsida; Brassicales; Brassicaceae
Exons: 4
Source: RefSeq, a predicted model, not a curated record
UACCCUUUGAGCAUAAGAGGAAGGCAUUAGAGAACGGAGCACGGCUAGGUACUCGUUCAUCUGUUUACGGCGAUUUCUCUCGACAGCGAUAUGGAUCCGGCAGAAGAGAGAAGACAUUCAAAGAGGCAAAACAAGCACAUCAACAUGUUAGGGUUCGUGGCCGAUUCAGAAUACGGGAUUCCUAGAAGGUGUCCGUGUGGUGGGAGACUCAUUAAUGAGGUUCGCGGGAAGGAGGACUACGACACUCUUCCUGGGAAGCGGUUCUUCACCUGCAAAAACUGCGAGGUAAGUCUGCUUUUUCACCGUCUGAUUAUCGUUGAUGUUUUCCAUUAUCGAAAAGACUCUGAUUAUUCUUUAUGUUGUAACCAAGGCUGAUGGGUUACAUUAUCGUCAGCCUUGGGUGAUAGGUGUGCAGGAGGAGCUCGAAAGGCUGACAAAACGGGUGGAGGAGGCUGAGCAGGUGAUGAUGGGGGUGUUGAAUCUCAGUAAACAGAUUGAGACACUUGAGGAAGAGGUUAAAAUCCUCUCAAGGCAGGUAGACUACCUCACUGUGCAGGUCGAUACCCUCGAGAAGGUCUGCUUCGACUGACAAGCAAAGGUCACGGGUUGGAGGUCACUGUGUUGCAGGUCACGGGUUGGAA